GACGAACGCUGGCGGCGUGCUUAACACAUGCAAGUCGAACGGAAAGGCCCUGCUUUUGUGGGGUGCUCGAGUGGCGAACGGGUGAGUAACACGUGAGUAACCUGCCCUUGACUUUGGGAUAACUUCAGGAAACUGGGGCUAAUACCGGAUAGGAGCUCCUGCUGCAUGGUGGGGGUUGGAAAGUUUCGGCGGUUGGGGAUGGACUCGCGGCUUAUCAGCUUGUUGGUGGGGUAGGGGCUUACCAAGGGUUUGACGGGUAGCCGGCCUGGGAGGGUGACCGGCGACAUUGGGACUGAGAUACGGACCAGACUCCUACGGGCGACAGCAGUGGGGAAUAUUGCACAAUGGGCGGAAGCCUGAUGCAGCAGCGCCGCGUGCGGGAUGACGGCCUUCGGGUUGUAAACCGCUUUCGCCUGUGACGAAGCGUGAGUGACGGUAAUGGGUAAAGAAGCACCGGCUAACUACGUG
Molecule: ribosomal RNA, 468 nt
Filed under: uncultured bacterium
Lineage: Bacteria
Description: partial 16S ribosomal RNA
Rfam family: Bacterial small subunit ribosomal RNA
Source: RNAcentral